CCUACGGGUGGCAGCAGUGAGGAAUAUUGGUCAAUGGACGAGAGUCUGAACCAGCCAAGUAGCGUGAAGGAUGACUGCCCUAUGGGUUGUAAACUUCUUUUAUAUGGGAAUAAAACGUUCCACGUGUGGGAUUUUGUAUGUACCAUAUGAAUAAGGAUCGGCUAACUCCGUGCCAGCAGCCGCGGUAAUACGGAGGAUCCGAGCGUUAUCCGGAUUUAUUGGGUUUAAAGGGAGCGUAGGUGGAUUGUUAAGUCAGUUGUGAAAGUUUGCGGCUCAACCGUAAAAUUGCAGUUGAAACUGGCAGUACUGAGUACAGUAGAGGUGGGCGGAAUUCGUUGUGUAGCGGGGAAAUGCUUAGAUAUCACGAAGAACUCCGAUUGCGAAGGCAGUUCACUGGACUGCAACUGACACUGAGGCUCGAAAGUGUGGGUAUCAAAUAGGAUUAGAUACCCGGGUAGUC
RNAcentral lists this ribosomal RNA (460 nucleotides) under uncultured bacterium. RNAcentral describes it as "partial 16S ribosomal RNA". It matches the Rfam family "Bacterial small subunit ribosomal RNA", at positions 338 to 795 of the family's 1533-position model. The record is from RNAcentral.